Molecule: ribosomal RNA, 884 nt
Filed under: Dentiscutata heterogama
Lineage: Eukaryota; Fungi; Glomeromycota; Glomeromycetes; Diversisporales; Gigasporaceae
Description: eukaryotic LSU rRNA
Rfam family: Eukaryotic large subunit ribosomal RNA
Source: RNAcentral
ACCUCAAGUCAUGUGAGAGUACCCGCUGAACUUAAGCAUAUCAAUAAGCGGAGGAAAAGAAACUAACAAGGAUUCCCCUAGUAACGGCGAGUGAAGCGGGAAGAGCACAAAUUUAAAAUCUACCUGGUUUCCAGGUCGAGUUGUAAUUUGAAGAAACGUUUUUGACGUUCCGGGUUGGGAUAAAUCCUUUGGGAUGAGGUAUCAUGGAGGGUGAGAAUCCCGUGUAUACCAACCGCAGGGAUGUUAUUUAAUACGUUUUCUAAGAGUCGAGUUGUUUGGGAAUGCAGCUCUAAAUGGGUGGUAAAUUUCACCUAAUGCUAAAUAUAAGCGAGAGACCGAUAGCGAACAAGUACCGUGAGGGAAAGAUGAAAAGAACUUUGAAAAGAGAGUUAAAUAGUACGUGAAAUUGUUGAAAGGGAAACGAUUGAAGUCAGUCAUGCCGGCGGGAAUCAACUUAGGGGAAACUCUAAGUGCACUUCACGUUUGGCAGGUCAGCGUCGAUUUUGGAUAUCAUAAAAUGAUUGGGGGAAGGUAGCUCCUUCGGGAGUGUUAUAGCCCUUGAUAGAUGUGAUGUUUGGGAUCGAGGAUUGCAACGGAUACCCUUUGGGCUAACCGCCUGAUCUCUAACUGGUGUUAAGUUACGGACAGCAUGCUGACCGUGAUUUAAUUAUUGGUUAAAAGGUUAGAGCGAGUGUAAAUUCGUUAAGGACGCUGACGUAAUGGCUUUAAACGACCCGUCUUGAAACACGGACCAAGGAGUCUAACAUGUAUGCGAGUGUUAGGGUAUUAAACCCAGACGCGAAAUGAAAGUGAGUGUAGGUGGGAUCCUUUAUUGGAGCACCAUCGACCGAUCUUGAGAUUUAUCGAUAGAAUUGAGUUAGAGC